RNAcentral lists this long non-coding RNA (701 nucleotides) under Homo sapiens (human). Its description in RNAcentral is "long non-coding RNA NONHSAT072671.2". The record is from RNAcentral. Lineage: Eukaryota; Metazoa; Chordata; Mammalia; Primates; Hominidae.
GCAGAGCCAUGGCCCUCUUCUUUGUUCUCUGCUGGAUCCAAGGCUAUUCCCAACAGAAGAGCUUGAACAAUGCUGCAUUUGCAUCAGGUUCAAAUGAGCGAGAGGAACAUUUGGCUAAAAUAUUUGAUGAAAUUCUACUGCAGGUGUUUCCAAAGUUUCCGUAUGACCCAUCAUUUAACGAAGCAACAGCAGUCAGAUCCAUUACAAAGACAGACAUGAGAAAAGGAACCAGCAUUGCUUGGAAUUCUCCUAAACCAGAAUAUUUCCUUGGCAGUGUGGACAAAAUUCCUGAUAAAGAUCACCUUUCAGAGGAGAAGAAUUUUAAAGAAUCCUGUCUGUUCGACAGGGAUUUAAGAGAGCAGUUAACUACUAUAGAUAAAGAAACACUUCAAGGAGCAGCUAAACCAGAUCUCCUCUGGCAAACACGACAUAUAAUAUUUUUAUAAUGGAUGGAAAGACAUGGUGGCACAAUUCUGAAGAAAAAAAUUUCACAAAACUUGCAAAAAAACAGAAACAGUUGAAGAGCAGCUCCUGUGUCUAAGCCAGGUCGUGGGGCCGUCAAACCAGGACUUGAAACCACAAUGCGAGGACAUUCUCCAUCUGCGCACCACAGGGAGGCAAUUCCAUUUCUGCCCGGGAGGUGUAUUCUACAAAAACGUCUGCUUCCCAUCCCAAUUUGAAUGGACCAAGAAAAACUGCUU